Molecule: ribosomal RNA, 301 nt
Filed under: uncultured bacterium
Lineage: Bacteria
Description: partial 16S ribosomal RNA
Rfam family: Bacterial small subunit ribosomal RNA
Source: RNAcentral
CAGUCGCCGCGGGAAUACGUAGGUGGCAAGCGUUGUCCGGAAUUAUUGGGCGUAAAGGGCUCGCAGGCGGUUUCUUAAGUCUGAUGUGAGAGCCCCCGGCUCAACCGGGGAGGGUCAUUGGAAACUGGGAAACUUGAGUGCAGAAGAGGAGAGUGGAAUUCCACGUGUAGCGGUGAAAUGCGUAGAGAUGUGGAGGAACACCAGUGGCGAAGGCGACUCUCUGGUCUGUAACUGACGCUGAGGAGCGAAAGCGUGGGGAGCGAACAGGAUUAGAUACCCCCGUAGUCCCUGUCUCUUAUAC